Long non-coding RNA from Thunnus maccoyii (southern bluefin tuna), 409 nucleotides. RefSeq lists it as uncharacterized. The transcript is spliced from 3 exons. The record is from RefSeq and is a predicted model, not a curated record. NCBI's taxonomy places the organism in Eukaryota, Metazoa, Chordata, Actinopteri, Scombriformes, Scombridae.
CCUUGACUUGACCUUUGAUAGUGUGUAGCUAUUGUCUGUGUGUGUGUUUUUUGUAACAAAGCUUGAGGGAACACAACAAUAAUAUGAUUUAUGCUUUAUUGAUUUCUCUCUUUGUAGAGAGGUCAGAGGUCGUCUGGAGAGCAGGAGCCCUGCAGCCUGGUGAUGGAGGAUGUACCACCAGCAACCUCCAUGCACAUAUGCCUUCUCUCCAGGCAGUGACGUGGUCAUACUGAUGUGGGCGAUAACCAAGCUGACAAGGCCGCAUACAAAACAGUGAGAUUCGACACUGGAAGUGAACCUACUGAAGACAGAAGUGUUUAGUUGGUGAGCACAUAAAGAUGCAUCUUAUGUUAUAAACAUAAUCAUGUGGAUUAUGUCUGUGUAUUUCUGUUGUAAAAUUCAAUUUUGA